CCUGAUGGCUCAGAGGGUAAAGCAUCUGUAUGCAAUGCAGGAGACCUGGGUUCAAUCCCUGGGUCAGGA
This 69-nucleotide transfer RNA is filed under the name Capra hircus (goat). It matches the Rfam family "tRNA". Rfam says of the family: Transfer RNA (tRNA) molecules are approximately 80 nucleotides in length. RNAcentral also lists the same sequence under 1 other name. Lineage: Eukaryota; Metazoa; Chordata; Mammalia; Artiodactyla; Bovidae. The record is from Rfam by way of RNAcentral.